CCUACGGGUAGCAGCAGUGAGGAAUAUUGGUCAAUGGCCGUAAGGCUGACCCAGCAACGCCGCGUGAAGGAAGAAGGCUUUCGGGUUGUAAACUUCUUUUCUCAGGGACGAAGCAAGUGACGGUACCUGAGGAAUAAGCCACGGCUAACUCCGUGCCAGCAGCCGCGGUAAUACGUAGGUGGCAAGCGUUAUCCGGAUUUACGGGGUGUAAAGGGCGUGUAGGCGGGACUGCAAGUCAGAUGUGAAAACUACGGGCUCAACCUGUGGCCUGCAUUUGAAACUGUAGUUCUUGAGUACUGGAGAGGCAGACGGAAUUCCUCGUGUAGCGGUGAAAUGCGUAGAUAUGAGGAGGAACACCAGUGGCGAAGGCGGUCUGCUGGACAGCAACUGACGCUGAGGCGCGAAAGCGUGGGGAGCAAACAGGAUUAGAUACCCUAGUAGUC
This 443-nucleotide ribosomal RNA is filed under the name uncultured bacterium. RNAcentral's name for it is "partial 16S ribosomal RNA". It matches the Rfam family "Bacterial small subunit ribosomal RNA", at positions 338 to 795 of the family's 1533-position model. The record is from RNAcentral.